This 72-nucleotide transfer RNA is filed under the name Camelus bactrianus (Bactrian camel). It matches the Rfam family "tRNA". From Rfam's summary of the family: Transfer RNA (tRNA) molecules are approximately 80 nucleotides in length. Their secondary structure includes four short double-helical elements and three loops (D, anti-codon, and T loops). Lineage: Eukaryota; Metazoa; Chordata; Mammalia; Artiodactyla; Camelidae. The record is from Rfam by way of RNAcentral. RNAcentral also lists the same sequence under 2 other names.
GAGGGUAUAGUUCAGAGGUAGAAUAUAUGCUUAGUAUGCAUGGGGUUCUGGGUUCAAUCCCUAGUACCUCCA